Molecule: long non-coding RNA, 457 nt
Filed under: Phascolarctos cinereus (koala)
Lineage: Eukaryota; Metazoa; Chordata; Mammalia; Diprotodontia; Phascolarctidae
Description: lncRNA (ENSPCIG00000013764.2)
Source: RNAcentral
CUGCCAUUAGGGUUACACUGCUAUGACCAUUUAGGAUGGAAGUGAAAGAGGCAUUAAUUAAGCAAUAAUGAUCAAGGUAUGGGGCAUUUCCUGGGGAUUAAUGACCGGCUGGGAGGAGUUGAUAGCCCACAGUUCGGCCAAGGGUCAUUAACCCCAGCUGGUCAUCAAUUCCUAUGACCUGCUUUAUAGUCAUUAUUGCUAUCAUAAGCCGAAAAUGAAAAGCAAAUGGGUCUAUGGAUUACUUUUAUGGAUGGUGCUGUUUCAAUUGGUAUCUAUAGGGCAUUUCUGGAGAAUGAAUGCUCUGUCCACAAGCCAAUUGGAUAUCUCAACAUUCCAUUCUACUUAUGUUGCUGCUUUGGACAAGCAAAGGAUGAAGCAGGUGCAUCUUACACUACACUGGUGAAAUACACAAGAGUUUAAUUUGGGAAUCCAGGUGCUGGCUUUCCUAGUCACAAGC